This 757-nucleotide unclassified non-coding RNA is filed under the name Hevea brasiliensis (rubber tree). Lineage: Eukaryota; Viridiplantae; Streptophyta; Magnoliopsida; Malpighiales; Euphorbiaceae. The record is from RNAcentral.
GAGAGAGAGAGAGAGAGAAUUUGAACAAAAAGGAAAAGCAGCCACUUCUAUGUGAAGAACAAAAUGUUUCUUUUUGCUCUAGUUCCUAGCAACUAGCAAGUGUGCAAGGAUGAGAUAAUUGUCUAAUAUAUUAAGUGAAUUUAUAUGAAUUUCACAGGCUUUGCCUAUAUUGAAUAAUGUACCUAUAAUAAAUAAUGAAGGAAUUCGAGAAUAGAUAUCCUUCAUGUGGGGUGACCAAAAAAAAAGUUGGUUAACUUCCCAGCUCAAAUAGUCAAGCAUCUUGGUCUGAUACAUACUCCCUUCAAAACGUGAUCUUUAACAUUUCGCUGUUUUAUAUUGUCAAAUUACUAUUGCUUUUGUAGGAAAAUGAAAAUAAAUGCAUUCAAUAGCUAACUUUAGAGUAUUAAUUAAUAGUAAGUAUUUGAGAUUCAACUCCGAAGCAAAGCUAAGAUCAUUGUUUAAUUACUAGCUAUUCAAUUUGAAAAUAGCUUAACACUAAUUAACAUAGAAUUAUUAAACCAAUAUCAGGCAAUAUGCACUAGAGCAAAGGCCUUUGCUUAGCAGUUAGUAAAGGCUGAAAUAACGAACAUUGUAAUAAAAAAUGAUGCAAGUUCACAAUCUUCAAGUUGAAUGUUGGAUUGAUAAGUGGUUAAGAAUCAUAACAAUGGGGGAGAAAUUUUGCAAUUUUUCGGUUCCAAGGAGUCAUUUAUCUAUUUGACAGAGGCAUCAUAUACCAAGCAGAAAAGAGCAUCAAAAA